This 349-nucleotide ribosomal RNA is filed under the name uncultured soil bacterium. RNAcentral describes it as "bacterial SSU rRNA". It matches the Rfam family "Bacterial small subunit ribosomal RNA", at positions 26 to 389 of the family's 1533-position model. The record is from RNAcentral.
AGAUUGAACGCUGGCGGCAUGCCUAACACAUGCAAGUCGAACGGGAGUAGCAAUACUCUAGUGGCGGACGGGUGAGGAAUACGUAGGAAUUUGCCCUUAAGUGGGGGAUAACCCGGGGAAACCCGGAUUAAUACCGCAUGACCUCGAAAGAGCAAAGUGGGGGAUCGCAAGACCUCACGCUUUUGGAGAAGCCUACGUCGGAUUAGCUAGUUGGUGAGGUAAUGGCUCACCAAGGCGACGAUCCGUAACUGGUCUGAGAGGAUGAUCAGUCACACCGGAACUGAGACACGGUCCGGACUCCUACGGGAGCAGCAGUGGGGAAUAUGGACAAUGGGCGCAAGCCUGAUCC